CCGACGGGUGAGUAACACGUAUGCAAUCCACCUGUAACAGGGGAGUAACCCGGAGAAAUCCGGACUAAUACCCCAUAAUAUGGGCGCUCCGCAUGGAGAGUCCAUUAAAGAGAGCAAUCUUGGUUACAGACGAGCAUGCGCUCCAUUAGCCAGUUGGCGGGGUAACGGCCCACCAAGGCGACGAUGGAUAGGGGUUCUGAGAGGAAGGUCCCCCACAUUGGAACUGAGACACGGUCCAA
RNAcentral lists this ribosomal RNA (239 nucleotides) under uncultured bacterium. RNAcentral describes it as "partial 16S ribosomal RNA". It matches the Rfam family "Bacterial small subunit ribosomal RNA", at positions 102 to 334 of the family's 1533-position model. The record is from RNAcentral.